CAUAUCAAUAAGCGGAGGAAAAGAAACUAACAAGGAUUCCCCUAGUAACUGCGAGUGAACCGGGAAAAGCUCAAAUUUAAAAUCUGGUAGCCAUUGGCUGCCCGAGUUGUAAUCUAGAGAAGCGUURUCCGUGCUGGACCGUGUAUAAGUCUCCUGGAAUGGAGCGUCAUAGAGGGUGAGAAUCCCGUCUUUGACACGGACUGCCAGUGCUUUGUGAUGCGCUCUCAAAGAGUCGAGUUGUUUGGGAAUGCAGCUCUAAAUGGGUGGUAAAUUCCAUCUAAAGCUAAAUAUUGGCGAGAGACCGAUAGCGAACAAGUACCGUGAGGGAAAGAUGAAAAGAACUUUGGAAAGAGAGUUAAACAGUACGUGAAAUUGUUGAAAGGGAAACGCUUGAAGUCAGACRCGUUGGUCAGAAAUCAGCCUUGCSUUUGCUUGGUGUAUUUUCUGGUUUAACGGGUCAGCAUCAAUUUUGACCGAUGGAAAAAGGUCAGGGGAAUGUGGCAUCUUUGGAUGUGUUAUAGCYCCUGGUUGUAUACAUCGGUUGGGAUUGAGGAACUCAGCACGCCGCGAGGUCGGGUUUUUAACCACGUUCGUGCUUAGGAUGCUGGCAUAAUGGCUUUAAUCGACCCGUCUUGAAACACGGACCAAGGAGUCUAACAUGCCUGCGAGUGUUUGGGUGGAAAACCCGAGCGCACAAUGAAAGUGAAAGUUGAGAUCCCUGUCGUGGGGAGCAUCGACGCCCGGACCAGACCUUUUGUGACGGAUCCGCGGUAGAGCAUGUAUGUUGGGACCCGAAAGAUGGUGAACUAUGCCUGAAUAGGGUGAAGCCAGAGGAAACUCUGGUGGAGGCUCGUAGCGAUUCUGACGUGCAAAUCGAUCGUCAAAUUUGGGUAUAGGGGCGAAA
This 904-nucleotide ribosomal RNA is filed under the name Lulesia nigrescens. RNAcentral describes it as "Clitocella nigrescens partial large subunit ribosomal RNA". The record is from RNAcentral. Lineage: Eukaryota; Fungi; Basidiomycota; Agaricomycetes; Agaricales; Entolomataceae.